RNAcentral lists this transfer RNA (67 nucleotides) under Gehyra sp. MPH-2011. Its description in RNAcentral is "tRNA-Trp". The record is from RNAcentral. Lineage: Eukaryota; Metazoa; Chordata; Lepidosauria; Squamata; Gekkonidae.
AGGAACUUAGGUUAAUACAAACCGGGGGCCUUCAAAGCCCCAAACAAGCCAACAUGCUUAGUCCCUG